UUGAACGCUGGCGGCAUGCUUUACACAUGCAAGUCGGACGGCAGCGGGGUAGUGCUUGCACUACUGCCGGCGAGUGGCGAACGGGUGAGUAAUAUAUUGGAACGUACCGAGUAAUGGGGGAUAACCAAUCGAAAGAUUGGCUAAUACCGCAUACGCUCUGAGGAGGAAAGCAGGGGACCUUCGGGCCUUGCGUUAUUCGAGCGGCCAAUAUCUGAUUAGCUAGUUGGUGGGGUAAGGGCCUACCAAGGCGACGAUCAGUAGCGGGUCUGAGAGGAUGAUCCGCCACACUGGGACUGAGACACGGCCCAGACUCCUACGGGAGGCAGCAGUGGGGAAUUUUGGACAAUGGGCGCAAGCCUGAUCCAGCCAUGCCGCGUGUCUGAAGAAGGCCUUCGGGUUGUAAAGGACUUUUGUUAGGGAAGAAAAAGGAGCGGUUAAUACCCGUUUCUGCUGACGGUACCUAAAGAAUAAGCACCGGCUAACUACGUG
This 489-nucleotide ribosomal RNA is filed under the name uncultured bacterium. Its description in RNAcentral is "partial 16S ribosomal RNA". It matches the Rfam family "Bacterial small subunit ribosomal RNA", at positions 30 to 507 of the family's 1533-position model. The record is from RNAcentral.